ACUCCUACGGGAGGCAGCAGUGAGGAAUAUUGGACAAUGGAGGCAACUCUGAUCCAGCCAUGCCGCGUGCAGGAAGACUGCCCUAUGGGUUGUAAACUGCUUUUAUACAGGAAGAAACACCUCUACGUGUAGAGAUUUGACGGGUACUGUAAGAAUAAGGAUCGGCUAACUCCGUGCCAGCAGCCGCGGUAAUACGGAGGAUCCAAGCGUUAUCCGGAAUCAUUGGGUUUAAAGGGGUCCGUAGGUGGAUAAUUAAGUCAGAGGUGAAAUCCUGCAGCUUAACUGUAGAAUUGCCUUUGAUACUGGUUGUCUUGAGUUAUUAUGAAGUGGUUAGAAUAUGUAGUGUAGCGGUGAAAUGCAUAGAUAUUACAUAGAAUACCAAUUGCGAAGGCAGAUCACUAAUAAUAUACUGACACUGAUGGACGAAAGCGUGGGGAGCGAACAGGAUUAGAUACCCUGGUAGGAUAGCG
Molecule: ribosomal RNA, 470 nt
Filed under: uncultured bacterium
Lineage: Bacteria
Description: bacterial SSU rRNA
Rfam family: Bacterial small subunit ribosomal RNA
Source: RNAcentral